Molecule: ribosomal RNA, 460 nt
Filed under: uncultured bacterium
Lineage: Bacteria
Description: partial 16S ribosomal RNA
Rfam family: Bacterial small subunit ribosomal RNA
Source: RNAcentral
CCUACGGGUGGCAGCAGUGAGGAAUAUUGGUCAAUGGCCGCAAGCCUGAACCAGCCAAGUCGCGUGAAGGAUGACGGCCCUAUGGGUUGUAAACUUCUUUUAUAGGGGAAUAAAGGUAUCCACGUGUGGCUAUUUGCAUGUACUCUAUGAAUAAGCAUCGGCUAACUCCGUGCCAGCAGCCGCGGUAAUACGGAGGAUGCGAGCGUUAUCCGGAUUUAUUGGGUUUAAAGGGUGCGUAGGUGGUUUUUUAAGUCAGCGGUGAAAGUUUGUGGCUCAACCAUAAAAUUGCAGUUGAUACUGGCAGACUUGAGUGUGUUUGAGGUAGGCGGAAUGCGUGGUGUAGCGGUGAAAUGCAUAGAUAUCACGAAGAACUCCGAUUGCGAAGGCAGCUUACUAAGCCAUAACUGACACUGAAGCACGAAAGCGUGGGGAUCAAACAGGAUUAGAUACCCAAGUAGUC